GGGCCCGUAGCUCAGCGGCAGAGCACUUGACUUUUAAUCAAGGUGUCGGGGGUUCGACUCCCCCCGGGCUCA
This 72-nucleotide transfer RNA is filed under the name Chloroflexota bacterium. Its description in RNAcentral is "Chloroflexi bacterium (freshwater metagenome) tRNA-Lys". It matches the Rfam family "tRNA". Rfam says of the family: Transfer RNA (tRNA) molecules are approximately 80 nucleotides in length. The record is from RNAcentral. Lineage: Bacteria; Bacillati; Chloroflexota.